This 238-nucleotide ribosomal RNA is filed under the name uncultured bacterium. RNAcentral describes it as "partial 16S ribosomal RNA". It matches the Rfam family "Bacterial small subunit ribosomal RNA", at positions 100 to 334 of the family's 1533-position model. The record is from RNAcentral.
CGGCACGGGUGAGUAACACGUAUCCAACCUGCCGUCUACUCUUGGCCAGCCUUCUGAAAGGAAGAUUAAUCCAGGAUGGCAUCAUGAGUCCACAUGUCCGCAUGAUUAAAGGUAUUUUCCGGUAGACGAUGGGGAUGCGUUCCAUUAGAUAGUAGGCGGGGUAACGGCCCACCUAGUCAACGAUGGAUAGGGGUUCUGAGAGGAAGGUCCCCCACAUUGGAACUGAGACACGGUCCAA